UGGUCUGGCAUCGAUGAAGAACGCAGCGAAAUGCGAUAAGUAAUGUGAAUUGCAGAAUUCAACGGAUCAUCGAAUCUUUGAACGCAUAUUGCGCCCAUUGGUAUUCCGAUGGGCAUGCCUGUUCGAGCGUCAUUUCAACCCUCAAGCAAACCUUUUGCUUGGUGAUGGAGCUCUCUAUAGCGCUUAGCCAUAGGCUCCGAAAAACAUUGGCGGUUUUUCAGCAAAUCCGAACGUAGUAAAUUACUUUUCGUUUAAGGAAUUACUGAGAUAUCUAGCCACUAAAACCCCUACUAUUUUUAAAGUUGACCUCGGAUCAGGUAGGAAUACCCGCUGA
This 334-nucleotide unclassified non-coding RNA is filed under the name uncultured fungus. Its description in RNAcentral is "partial contains 5.8S ribosomal RNA and internal transcribed spacer 2". The stretch from base 4 to 132 matches the Rfam family "5.8S ribosomal RNA", at positions 26 to 154 of the family's 154-position model. The record is from RNAcentral. Lineage: Eukaryota; Fungi.